GUUUGUUCAUAAAUUAUAUUAAUAAAUUAAAUUAUAACCAAUAGUUGAACGCCAAGUAUUUUAAAAAAUAUUUAAAGAUUUUAAUUUUAAAACAAUUAAAUGAGUGAUCAAUUUUGAAUCCAAAGGUGGAUAACAAGGGUAAUUUGGAGCCAAUAAGUGGACGAAGGGUAAUUUUGUACCAUUUUCAAUACUUUAAGGGUAUUUUAGGCACAUUUCCAUUUAAUUUUGCUGUCUGUUUACUUGUUAGUAUUUGUCGUCAGUCUUUAG
RNAcentral lists this unclassified non-coding RNA (267 nucleotides) under Hevea brasiliensis (rubber tree). The record is from RNAcentral. Lineage: Eukaryota; Viridiplantae; Streptophyta; Magnoliopsida; Malpighiales; Euphorbiaceae.